RNAcentral lists this ribosomal RNA (253 nucleotides) under uncultured bacterium. Its description in RNAcentral is "partial 16S ribosomal RNA". It matches the Rfam family "Bacterial small subunit ribosomal RNA", at positions 524 to 776 of the family's 1533-position model. The record is from RNAcentral.
UACAGAGGUCUCAAGCGUUGUUCGGAUUCAUUGGGCGUAAAGGGUGCGUAGGUGGCGCCAUAAGUCAGGUGUGAAAUCUCGGGGCUCAACCCCGAAACUGCACUUGAUACUGUGGCGCUCGAGUACUGGAGAGGAGAUUGGAAUUUACGGUGUAGCAGUGAAAUGCGUAGAUAUCGUAAGGAAGACCAGUGGCGAAGGCGAAUCUCUGGACAGUUACUGACACUGAGGCACGAAGGCCAGGGGAGCAAACGGG